UGGGGAAUCUUGCGCAAUGGGGGAAACCCUGACGCAGCGACGCCGCGUGCGGGAUGAAGGCCUUCGGGUUGUAAACCGCUUUCAGCAGGGACGAGGCCUUACGGUGACGGUACCUGCAGAAGAAGCUCCGGCUAAAUACGUGCCAGCAGCCGCGGUAAUACGUAUGGAGCAAGCGUUAUCCGGAUUCAUUGGGCGUAAAGCGCUCGUAGGCGGUCUGUUAGGUCGGCAAGUUAAAUCCGGGGGCUCAACCCCCGUCCGCUUCCGAUACCGGCAGACUUGAGUUUGGUAGGAGAAGGUGGAAUUCCUAGUGUAGCGGUGGAAUGCGCAGAUAUUAGGAAGAACACCGGUGGCGAAGGCGGCCUUCUGGGCCAUAACUGACGCUGAGGAGCGAAAGCUAGGGGAGCGAACAGG
Molecule: ribosomal RNA, 411 nt
Filed under: Verrucomicrobiota bacterium
Lineage: Bacteria; Pseudomonadati; Verrucomicrobiota
Description: Verrucomicrobia bacterium partial 16S ribosomal RNA
Rfam family: Bacterial small subunit ribosomal RNA
Source: RNAcentral